UGGGGAAUUUUGGACAAUGGGCGAAAGCCUGAUCCAGCAAUGCCGCGUGUGUGAAGAAGGCCUUCGGGUUGUAAAGCACUUUUGGCGAGAACGAAACAGCGCCCGCUAAUACCGGGUGCGAAUGACGGUACUCGCAGAAUAAGCACCGGCUAACUACGUGCCAGCAGCCGCGGUAAGACGUAGGGUGCAAGCGUUAAUCGGAAUUACUGGGCGUAAAGCGUGCGCAGGCGGUUUUGUAAGACAGAUGUGAAAUCCCCGGGCUCAACCUGGGAACUGCAUUUGUGACUGCAAGGCUAGAGUGCGUCAGAGGGAGGUGGAAUUCCGCGUGUAGCAGUGAAAUGCGUAGAGAUGCGGAGGAACACCGAUGGCGAAGGCAGCCUCCUGGGAUGACACUGACGCUCAUGCACGAAAGCGUGGGGAGCAAACAGG
This 429-nucleotide ribosomal RNA is filed under the name uncultured bacterium. Its description in RNAcentral is "bacterial SSU rRNA". It matches the Rfam family "Bacterial small subunit ribosomal RNA", at positions 355 to 776 of the family's 1533-position model. The record is from RNAcentral.